Molecule: transfer RNA, 63 nt
Filed under: bovine gut metagenome
Rfam family: tRNA
About the family: Transfer RNA (tRNA) molecules are approximately 80 nucleotides in length. Their secondary structure includes four short double-helical elements and three loops (D, anti-codon, and T loops).
Source: RNAcentral
AUUAGCUCAGCUGGUAGAGCAACUGACUCUUAAUCAGUGGGUCACAGGUUCGAUCCCUGCAUG